Molecule: long non-coding RNA, 6711 nt
Organism: Gadus morhua (Atlantic cod)
Lineage: Eukaryota; Metazoa; Chordata; Actinopteri; Gadiformes; Gadidae
Exons: 3
Source: RefSeq, a predicted model, not a curated record
CCUUAACAACACAGUGCUGGGGGAAACACUGCUUGUAAGUUGCUUUGGACAAAAGCGUCUUGUGAAUGCCCUAAAUAUAAACAAAAAAUAUGGGCUGGGUGUGCCUUAGCCUCCAUAUGGAUAGAAAUGAACAGAAAAUGCUAAAAUAGGGAAAAGUUUGUGUCUCACAGUCAACAAAAUAAGCACAAUUCUGUCAUAUUUCAUAGUGAAUAAUGUUAAGCCUAAAAUCUUCCUGUACCUUCAACAAAUUUAUACAGAAAAAAUGAUUAGUUAAUUAUUAGGAACGCAGGCUGGAACAGUGCUGUGUUUGUGUACUUUAGGCAGGGCAACCAGAACAGGAAGUACAAAAAUGGGUUUUUUGUACCAGGGUCACAUGGUUAAAGUCUGCCAUUUCAUACGAGCUGCAUUCGUAUCGACUCCGGCAUUACACAUAAUCUGCAGGGAAAUUACACAAGGGUUAUGUUUUUGAGACAAAAAUAGUGCUUCCUUGAAGAUACCUUACAAAAGAGCCCUUUGAUGGUGUAAAUCUGAAUGCCGAAAUGUCUUGGAUGUUAUACAAACGGUCAUGUGCCUUUAAAACCAGAGGAUUGAUAGGUGAUCGCAGAGACACAGACAGCUGGGAGAGUCGCAGACAGAGGAUCCAGGGUGUAUGUGUGUGUGUCUCGCUCGAGUUGGAGGAAAGAAGGACAGCAGAUAGAGGGAGAGAGAGGAGAGAGAGAGACCCAAUUAGAAGGAGCGUGAGGGGGGAAAUGGGGACACGGCCGCGUCACAGAGCAGAGAAAAAGGAAGCCAUGGUAGCAGGUUCCCGUUAACUUGAGCUCUGCAUGCGCUCAGUCUGCCUGUUUGGCAGCUAGCAAGUGGGAUACCAGAACUGGUUGAAGUCGUGUUUAUGUCAGCACAAAGAUCUGAAAAUUAAAUGCUGCGUCACACUUGGGAAGAGGAAUAGGUUGAUAAUGCAUGCGCAUGCCCAACUGUGUGUGUGUGUGUGUGUGUGUGUGUGUGUGUGUGUGUGUGUGUGUGUGUGUGUGUGUGUGUGUGUGUGUGUGUGUGUGUGUGUGUGUGUGUGUGACUUGGCGCCGGGCUGUUGGUGAGCUAUGUGUGAUCAGAAUGAGUGGUGUUUACAUGGGUAUCGGUUUGGAGCAGCAUUCUAAGAGCAGCAACAUGGUUGUUACAACAAGAUGAACAUCGAGUGUGCCUGUUUUUCAAAGGCAAGGGGAGGAAAGAGAGAGGGAGGCAGGCAGGAGAUAGAGCGAGUGAAGGGAGAGCAGGUCAGGGAGUGAGAGAGAAACAGAGAGGGAGAAAGAUUGUGGAUUAGUUGCUACGUCACUUUUUCACGUCGGGGAGUAAACAGAAGCUAACAUUACAGAAGCUCGGAGUCAUCGAGUUCCUCCACCUGAGAGUGGACGCAACGCUUUUUCCGACAUCCUCCUCCUCUUCAUCCUCCUUGUCGGUAGUUUUGCUCUCUUUGCCUGUCGCUAUUGUGUGUGUGUGUGUGUGUGUGUGUGUGUGUGUGUGUGUGUGUGUGUGUGUGUGUGUGUGUGUGUGUGUGUGUGUGUGUGUGUGUGUGUGCGCGCUGCCUCUGCUCUGCCUGUGAGCUGGAUUCAGGAGUUUCACAUGGAUGCAGUAGAAGAGUGUUGUUUAGAUGUGCUAGCUAGGUGCAUAUCGAGGAUGGGCACAAGUGCAGCAGAGGGGUUAACAUCAGAACAUUCUGGAGGGUUCUUGUUGUCGAGGCGAAGCAAAUUCAGGAAUGUUUUGCAGGGAAUCAUAGAGGUAACCGAGUGAUGCUGUUUUGCCACAAUCGAUGUAUUUGACGCAAAAGCUAUAUUUUAAAUCAAUUGCAGUCUAGUGCACUAUGCGCUCUGAUUGAAGGGAUAUUAUGAAAGGUGUAUGCUGGUCUUUAUGUGAUAUCGGAGUAUAAAUAGGUGCGAGGUAGAGGUAAACAUCACGGUAUUGUAGCAAAUGACGCCUUUUUUUCUUUGACAUUAAGCCUGGAGGAUUUGGACAUGUUGCUACGCAACAAUUAUACGGACAUUUAUAUAAUGCUGUUUUACCUGUGGUUCAUUCUUGAUUGAGUUCAAGGGCAGCCAAGAGGGUGCAGAGAAACACACAUUUGUACAUUUAUUCUACACCCAGCUUGCCAGUAUUUGAUCUGGAAACAAACGUAUUCUGAGUGUGUGGCUCGUGAUACUUGUGUCAUAAGGUUGUUUUUUUAUGUCUCACAGGGCCACCGGGACUGGCUGAAGCCCUUCCCAGGACACAUUUGUUUCUGCGUAGUUAGGAGAGACAGAGGCUGGUGACGCAGUCAUUUCUGGGCUGGACUUGUACCAGUACAUGGCUUGUAGCCCUAUCUCUGCCCUACCGCUCUCUCUCUUUGCCUCUUUGCCUCUCUGUCUGUCUGUCUCUCUCUCUCUCUCUCUCUCUCUCUCUCUCUCUCUCUCUCUCUCUCUCUCUCUCUCUCUCUCUCUCUCUCUCUCUCUCUCUCUCUUUGCCUCUUUGCCUCUCUGUCUCUCUCUCUCUCUCUCUCUCUCUCUCUCUCUCUCUCUCUCUCUCUCUCUCUCUCUCUCUCUCUCUCUCUCUCUCUCUUUGAAAAAGGAAGGACUAAAACAGGCAAAAUGUCAUGGCUCAUGAUCAGAGACAAAGAGGGAAGAAGGGAGAAGAGUUGUUUACCUUGCAUGCUUUGGUGACUCUGCACUGGCAACUCUCCAAUUCACUGUACUUCCUAAAGCUGCUGCCUCGCAAGCCUUUGAGCAAAAGCAGAAUUCUCAUUGGCUAGGAGGAUUUCAUUUGGCUGCAAAAGCAGUACUGGAUUGGCCAGGCCCAAGCUCACAUCCAGAAUGCAAUAAUCUGAUUGGUUGUACGUUUCAAGUAACAAUGGCUGCUUGGGUUAUUAAAGUAAAUGGACUGUAGUAAGGGUUAUUGAGCGCUGAGCUAGUGAAGUUAACAGACAAUGCGAACAGCGUCUAUUGUUCAACUGUUUUUGAUAAUAACGUCCUUCGAUGCAGACGACGGUACAGUCGCCAACAAAACUAACUUAAUUAAACUUCUAAUUAGUACUAAUAUUUACUUUAGCAGCGGCUUCCGCUGCGAAGGCCAAUCCCACAGCCUCAGAGCCAUCAGAGGUAGCAAGCACCUUAGAGCCAACCCAGCCUCGAGGACUCCUUCUCUGUGCUUCAAGAUGACACAGCAGAGGGGAACUACUCAGUUAGAAAAGUGCUUUUGGGAGAGACAUGCUGAAUAAAUACAUCAUGUUUUCAAACUCAAAAAUAAUUGUUUGAAUAAUCAUGAUUUCAAUAUUGACCAAAACAAUCGCGAUUAUGAUUUUUUCCAUAAUCGAGCAGCCCUAGUCCUUUCCUAGUCCAUGCCUACUUAAGUCAAGCGUUGCCUAACAAUGGUCUGCAUUGAGUGUUCAUCUUUUUAAGAUCUGGUUUUUCGAGUUGUUUCUUCAUUUCAAUUUGGUUUACGAAACUCUACCAACUUUCAGAGUGAGUGGUUAAAACAUAUUAGAGAAGUAAUACUCUAAUAAUAAAUGUAUUGAUACGUAUUAAAAUGAACAGAUUUGUAACAUGUUGGUGCUACAAUGCAUUCAAUGGAAAAAAACGUAAAAUUAUGUGAUAUUCUGAAUGUAGCUGUGUAAAAUAUUGGGGGGGUUCUGAGGUUAACUCUGUACAUGUUGAAAGCAUUGGACAGAGACGUAGACCAUGAUCAGACACUGCUUACUUACAGCCACAUAAACACAACCUCAUCACAGGCCACCAUCGGGUCACCAGGAAUUGACCAAGAUGUGGCUUUGGUCUACAUCAUCAUGUCAUGUCUCAGGGGACUUGGCGGUUCUCGAUUGUUAUAAUCAAAGUGACUCUGAUUCACAGAGUCAGUUGGUGGUAUUCUCACCAUGGAGAGAAAGUUCCCAGUUUACCUAGGAACACCCGGGGCAGCAAGCCCAUCAGUACAAUAAAAUGGAGGAAGAAAAGAGAAUGUUCAGGAAGGAGUAGUGUUAGCUAGCGUAGGCACCUUGCAGACACAAUACCUGGCUGCUUUGUAGUUGGGCGGAAGUAGCUCUGGAGGAAGAGUGGAUUAAAUGUUAACCGGAAGGUUGCUAAUUCGAUCCCCGGAGUGUUGAGUUGACACUGAGCAAGACGCCUCACCCUGACUACUCCUGGCAAGCUGGCCGCCGCACUGUGUUGUUGAACUCGGUGUGUGAAUGAAUGGUUCUCACUACUCACUACUCCACCUUCUAGCCGUUGAUGUUUUAGAUUUUUUCAAAUGCAGAUGUGUACCCAAAUAAAUAUAUUUAUAAAUAAACACGUAAACGGCGUGCACAAACUCGGCCAGCAGUAGUUAACUGUAAAAAAGUAAAAGGGUACAGGUUUCAAAUCCACCCAUUUUAGACGGACUACUAGAGAAUUACAUUACAAUCCUCUGCUUAAAAUGUCAUCCACUGGUGUGAUUGAGUUUCUUCUGUAGAAUAUCUCUUUACGAAACAGGAAACCAGGUGUAACUCCGCCCCUUGCUCCUGUUGGUUUCCUGCUUAGGCUUUGCCGUCUCCCCGCAGAAGCACUACUAUAACAUGGGAGGAUUUGUAUUUUCCCACCGUAUCUCUUUGACCCAGUAAGCCACGAGAGGCUGAGGAUCCUGGGCCUGUAUCACUGGAUGAUGGUAUUAAGUCUCUGGGGAGCUAGCACUUAGGUUGGAGUCUGAUGAUCUGUUUGUUUGCGUCACAGGUGGAACCGACCCUCAGAAAUACUCCCCUUGGAAGCUGGUUUCCGAUGGUGGCUUAGAGUGCGGUCCUCCAUCUAGCACCAUUUGAAAUCAGUGUUCUUGUGGUGGGAUGUGAACUUCUCCCACAGAUGCUGGAUGCGUGCCAGCAACACUGCAUCACACUUGGUGGGAGGGGAGGAAAACGGGAUUUCAUCACCCAGGAAGUGUCACCCACCCCUUACCAACGGGCCGGAGGGACAGUUAGCAGUGGCGCAGUUGCAGUCGCAGUGACUUAUGAUGUGUUCCAGAUGCCUCUUACACCACCCGCACGAGUUGCUCUUGUGGCGUAAUUUCCUGGCUUGUAACACUUAUAGCCUUCCUGUUUGUCUUUGUGAUUGCGUCAUGUCAUUGGCUAGUCAUUGUUAGCCACAUUAGCCUCUCUAGCAAACCAGCUAGAAGAAAAACACAACUUUACAUUGUAUUUCACGCACAGCAAGACCGUGCAAUGCAUAAAUUGAUGACCGGAAUAACGAAGAAAUGUAAUCAAGUGUGUAAGAGCAUUUAAAAUCGACAUUAAAAUGACCAAUGACCGUGGUACGAAUACAAAGAAAAUAAAUCCAAUUUUUGGACCAGCCAUUUUUGUUGUCGAGUUGUACGGUCAACCUCACUGAACUCUGUAUAGGCCUACUCUCAGAAUCAACCAAAACUUUUGGUCGGUCCCAGGUGAAAUGCCGCAAGAAAGCUGGGAGAUUACCCCAUUUGCAACUCGUUCGGCUGGUGUACGAGGCAUCUGGAACACACCAUCAGUUAGCGUGAGGCAGUUAGCCAUGACUUAGUUAGCCAUGGCACAGUAGCAGUGACUCAGUUAGCAGUCAUUCAGCUAGCCAUGGCACAGUAGCAGUGACUCAGUAGCAUUGACUCAGUAGCAGUGACUCAGUAGCAGUGACGCAUUGAGCAGUAACGCAGUUACCAUUGACGCAGUAGCAUUGACUCAGUAGCAGUGACGCAGUUAGCAUUGAGCAGUAGCAGUGAUACAGUAGCAGUGACGCAGUUACCAUUGACGCAGUAGCAUUGACUCAGUAGCAGUGAUGCAGUUAUCAUUGACCGGUAGCAGUGACUCAAUAGCAGUGACGCAGUUAACAUUGACGCAGUAGCAGUGACGCAGUUGGCAUUGACGCAGUAGCAGUGACGCAGUUGGCAUUGACACAGUAGCAGUGACACAGUUAGCAGUGCAAGCUUAAGGUCCUCUUUUCCAAGGUUGACUGAUUUCUUUCGGUGUUCAGAGUCUUCUUGUGUUUCUAGCACCAUUUGAAAUCGGUUACAAUGAAGGAUACCUCAUCGGGAGGGUGAGCUCCUCUGCGGCGGGCCCGUGGGCAGACUGGGGUUGGGCAGAAGGGUUUAAAAAGGGGCCUUAGUUCUAAGAUUACUAGUUCUCUUCAAUUGAACUAGCAGGUCUUUAAUGCAACUGAAUGUAUUGGGCUAAUGGCCAAGAAGCAUUCAUCUGAAAUCUUUUAUUUUUAAGCGUUAUAAAGGAAUGUAAUGUUUGGUAUUCAUACGUGAUGAAUGAAAAUUAAAUGCUGAAUGGAUGUAAAAAUUGUAAUCCAUUUGUUGACCGAUAUUAAAGACUCAGAAUCACUAACUACAUUUCAUACUCAAACAGAGAGUACAGUAACACAGAACGUGGACGGAAGUACUUUAAUCAUUUUUAUAAUUUCAAGCUCAUGUUCAUAUCAAAUGGUUGUCAAGGCACAAUGAAAUACAAUGCUAAUAAAUUAUGGAUAUUACUAAUGCAGUUGACCAUUUUGAUAGAUAUUUUUAAAUGGCGUCAAUAGAUUUAUUUCGCUUUUCACAUUUUGUCACAUUUAGAAUGUGGAAAAUCGAUAGCAAACGAUUGGAACACAAUGAUCAGAGGCUUCAGAUUUGAUCUGCACACAUAUUUAUACCUCAUUUCAAUUAUUUACAACCACAGAAUGUUAAUUCCAUGGCGCUACGGCCCCAGCAAAGCCUAUAAGUGCA